Molecule: ribosomal RNA, 301 nt
Filed under: uncultured bacterium
Lineage: Bacteria
Description: partial 16S ribosomal RNA
Rfam family: Bacterial small subunit ribosomal RNA
Source: RNAcentral
CAGUCGCCGCGGUAAUACGUAAGGUGCGAGCGUUAAUCGGAAUUACUGGGCGUAAAGCGUGCGCAGGCGGUUACGUAAGACAGUUGUGAAAUCCCCGGGCUCAACCUGGGAACUGCAUCUGUGACUGCAUAGCUAGAGUACGGUAGAGGGGGAUGGAAUUCCGCGUGUAGCAGUGAAAUGCGUAGAUAUGCGGAGGAACACCGAUGGCGAAGGCAAUCCCCUGGACCUGUACUGACGCUCAUGCACGAAAGCGUGGGGAGCAAACAGGAUUAGAUACCCCUGUAGUCCCUGUCUCUUAUAC